GAAAUGCGAUAAGUAAUGUGAAUUGCAGAAUUCAGUGAAUCAUCGAAUCUUUGAACGCACCUUGCACCCUUUGGUAUUCCGAAGGGUACACCCGUUUGAGUGUCAUUGUAAUCUCACUACAACCGCUUUUUUGUGGUUGCAUGUGGACUUGGAUGUUGCCGUGUCACAAACGGCUCGUCUGAAAUGCCUGAGUGUACCCCUGCUUUGCGGCGUAUUCGGUGUGAUAAAUCUUCACCGGAGUUGACCCUCAGGGUCACGUCUGCUUGACAUGGCUCUAUGCUUCCAACUGUCCUGACAAGACAAUCUUUGACAAUUUGACCUCAAAUCGGGUGGGACUACCCGCUGAACUUAA
Molecule: unclassified non-coding RNA, 352 nt
Filed under: uncultured Serendipita
Lineage: Eukaryota; Fungi; Basidiomycota; Agaricomycetes; Sebacinales
Description: sequence contains ITS1
Rfam family: 5.8S ribosomal RNA (bases 1-105)
Source: RNAcentral